Long non-coding RNA from Ictalurus punctatus (channel catfish), 255 nucleotides. Lineage: Eukaryota; Metazoa; Chordata; Actinopteri; Siluriformes; Ictaluridae. The record is from Ensembl.
GCAGAGUUGGGCCUGGUUAGUACUUGGUUGGGAGACUGACUGGGAAUACUAGGAGUUGUAAGCUUUUUAUUUGGAUCAGUGUUUUCAUGACCUCUGCACAACAUCCUCUUUUGGGAUUAAGAUUGGAUACAGGUUUGAAGGGGACCCAAUCAAUCAGUCAGUCAGUCAGUCAGUCUUUUGAUUAUACUAUUUAAAUAGGCCCCAUUUAGGGUCAGCUUUCGCUUACGGCCAUACCACUCUGACGGCGGUAGUGAG